Oenanthe melanoleuca is the source of this 408-nucleotide long non-coding RNA. RefSeq lists it as uncharacterized. The transcript has 3 exons. NCBI's taxonomy places the organism in Eukaryota, Metazoa, Chordata, Aves, Passeriformes, Muscicapidae. The record is from RefSeq and is a predicted model, not a curated record.
AUUUCAAGAAGAGGGAUGGGAAAGACCUAGCAGGAGCAGAGACCUCUUGACUAUUUCCUCCCAAACCGCAUCCUGUGAAUCAGACCUACUAAGGAAAAUGCUAAAGCAGAUAUUUCACUUGGAACACAUGAAUAAUCCUACACCAACACUUGAAGGCCGGGACUCUUUAGAUACAAGAAUUUGCUGGAAAACUCCAAUGAGCUGAAGCUCAGGAGAAGGAAGCUGAGGCUGACCUGCAGAGGACACACAGCAGUGAGAAGGGCUGAGCUGCACCAGCCAGCCCCAGCAGGAAGAUGUGCAGCAAAGACUUCCUGCCUGUAUCUCGGGUUCCCUGUUGCCCACCUGCCACUGCUGCAGCAGGAGUAGAGAUGCUGCAUGAAGACCACCGAGUGGUUUGGACUCUGCCAG